This 57-nucleotide transfer RNA is filed under the name Orthione mesoamericana. Its description in RNAcentral is "partial tRNA-Val". The record is from RNAcentral. Lineage: Eukaryota; Metazoa; Arthropoda; Malacostraca; Isopoda; Bopyridae.
AGGAUGGAAACAUUUAGAUGUGCUGCAUUUACACUGCAGAAAAGAUUUCCCAUCCUA